Molecule: ribosomal RNA, 328 nt
Filed under: uncultured bacterium
Lineage: Bacteria
Description: bacterial SSU rRNA
Rfam family: Bacterial small subunit ribosomal RNA
Source: RNAcentral
CGUAGGUGGUAGUGAAAGUCUAUGGUGGAAUCUUAGGGCUUAACCCUAAAACUGCCUUGGAAACUUCAUUACUUGAGUCAGUGAGGGGAGGGUAGAAUUCCUGGUGUAGCGGUGAAAUGCGUAGAUAUCAGGAGGAAGGCCGGUGGCGAAGGCGGCCCUCUGGCGCUGAACUGACGCUGAGGCGCGAAAGCGUGGGUAGCAAACAGGAUUAGAUACCCUGGUAGUCCACGCCCUAAACGGUGGGUACUAGGUGUAGGGCUCGUAAGGGUUCUGUGCCGAAGGGAAACCAUUAAGUACCCCGCCUGGGGAGUACGGCCGCAAGGUUGAA